This 251-nucleotide ribosomal RNA is filed under the name uncultured prokaryote. RNAcentral's name for it is "partial 16S rRNA". It matches the Rfam family "Bacterial small subunit ribosomal RNA", at positions 525 to 775 of the family's 1533-position model. The record is from RNAcentral.
ACGGAGGAUGCGAGCGUUAUCCGGAUUUAUUGGGUUUAAAGGGUGCGUAGGCCGAUCGAUAAGUCAGCGGUGAAAUACCAUGGCCCAACCAUGGAACUGCCGUUGAUACUGUGGGACUUGAAUAUGGUCAAGGUAGGCGGAAUGUGUAAUGUAGCGGUGAAAUGCUUAGAUAUGAGGAGGAACACCGGUGGCGAAGGCAGCUUACUGGUCCAUAAUUGACGCUGAGGCACGAAAGCGUGGGGAGCAAACAG